UACGUAGGGGGGCAAGCGUUGUUCGGAAUUAUUGGGCGUAAAGGGCGCGUAGGCGGUUUGACAAGUCUGAUGUGAAAUCUCUGGGCUCAACCCAGAGUCUGCAUUAGAAACUGUCGGGCUUGAGUAUGGGAGAGGUGAGUGGAAUUUCCGGUGUAGCGGUGAAAUGCGUAGAUAUCGGAAGGAACACCUGUGGCGAAAGCGGCUCACUGGACCAUAACUGACGCUGAGGCGCGAAAGCUAGGGGAGCAAACAGG
Molecule: ribosomal RNA, 254 nt
Filed under: uncultured bacterium
Lineage: Bacteria
Description: partial 16S ribosomal RNA
Rfam family: Bacterial small subunit ribosomal RNA
Source: RNAcentral